RNAcentral lists this ribosomal RNA (393 nucleotides) under uncultured bacterium. RNAcentral's name for it is "partial 16S ribosomal RNA". It matches the Rfam family "Bacterial small subunit ribosomal RNA", at positions 523 to 918 of the family's 1533-position model. The record is from RNAcentral.
AUACGGAGGAUGCAAGCGUUAUCCGGAUUUAUUGGGGUUAAAGGGUGCGUAGGCUGUUCGGAAAGUCAGGGGUGAAAGCCCGGCGCCUAACGCCGGAACUGCCUUUGAUACUUCCGAGCUGGAAUACGGAUGCCGUGGGAGGAAUGAGUAGUGUAGCGGUGAAAUGCAUAGAUAUUACUCAGAACACCGAUUGCGAAGGCAUCUCACGAAUCCGUCAUUGACGCUGAGGCACGAAAGCGUGGGGAUCAAACAGGAUUAGAUACCCUGGUAGUCCACGCAGUAAACGAUGAUGAUUAACCGUCGGCGAUACACAGUCGGUGGCCAAGCGAAAGCGAUAAGUCAUCCACCUGGGGAGUACGUUCGCAAGAAUGAAACUCAAAUGAAUUGACGGGG